Non-coding RNA from Pyronema omphalodes CBS 100304, 115 nucleotides. The record is from Rfam. Lineage: Eukaryota; Fungi; Ascomycota; Pezizomycetes; Pezizales; Pyronemataceae.
GGCAAGAUGGCCGAGCGGUCUAAGGCGCCAGACUCAAGCUUGAGUUUCGGAGUGGAUCACCACACCGAGCAUUCUGGUCUCGCAAGAGGCGGGGGUUCGAAUCCCCCUCUUGUCA